This 263-nucleotide ribosomal RNA is filed under the name uncultured bacterium. RNAcentral's name for it is "partial 16S ribosomal RNA". It matches the Rfam family "Bacterial small subunit ribosomal RNA", at positions 524 to 786 of the family's 1533-position model. The record is from RNAcentral.
UACAGAGACUGCAAGCGUUAUUCGGAUUCACUGGGCGUAAAGGGUGCGCAGGCGGCCGUGUGUGUUAGGCGUGAAAGCCCGAGGCUCAACCUCGGAAUUGCACCUAAAACUACACGGCUAGAGUACUGGAGAGGGUAGCGGAAUUCACGGUGUAGCAGUGAAAUGCGUAGAUAUCGUGAGGAACACCAAUGGCGAAGGCAGCUACCUGGACAGUUACUGACGCUCAGGCACGAAAGCGUGGGGAGCAAAAGGGAUUAGAUACC